Molecule: ribosomal RNA, 377 nt
Filed under: Kryptoperidinium foliaceum
Lineage: Eukaryota; Dinophyceae; Peridiniales; Kryptoperidiniaceae
Description: partial Bacterial large subunit ribosomal RNA
Rfam family: Bacterial large subunit ribosomal RNA
Source: RNAcentral
GCGUAGUCGAUGGGAACCAGGUUAAUAUUCCUGGGCCAGCGGGUAGUGACGGAUUGCGGACGUUGUACACUCUUACUGGAUUGAGUGUGCAGCCAUGCCGUCCCUGGAAAUAGCUCCCGCAUGAGACCGUACCCCAAACCGACACAGGUGGACUGGUAGAGAAUACCAAGGCGCUUGAGAGAACUCUGUUGAAGGAACUCGGCAAAUUACUCCCGUAAGUUCGCGAGAAGGGAGCCUGGCAUCAGGCAACUGGUGUCCAGGGGCACAGACCAGGGGGUGGCGACUGUUUAUUAAAAACACAGGGCUCUGCGAAGUCGUAAGACGACGUAUAGGGUCUGACGCCUGCCCGGUGCCUGAAGGUUAAAAGGAGGGGUGAG